UGCCAUAUAAGUUGGUUAUCCUCUUAACCAAGGAGUGUGGAGAUACUAUUAUGGUAUACAGAUGAAAUGUAAGAGUACAUUCGCAUCGAACGUGACCAUGUACCGAGUACUCUGGUGCCAAGAGUAGCUUGUGAAGGGUAUGGAUAUAAGUGUCCCUCCGACCUGAGACUAUCACGGUGACUUGUAAGCAACUCACUGUACUUUAGUACCAGACUAUCUGAGUUUCUAACUUAAUAAUGGAAGGAUAUUAGGUACAGUCAAGUACUUAUCAAGUCGGUGUGUGAAUCAAGAUUGAAUUGAUCCCUCUGAAUUGGUAGGAGAUAUGCAUCAGUAUAUUUCAAUUUAGCAAAAUCUUGACUAGGAUAAUCCAUGACAUGGAUUUGAAAGGUUGAAA
RNAcentral lists this long non-coding RNA (394 nucleotides) under Elaeis guineensis (African oil palm). RNAcentral's name for it is "long non-coding RNA (EGUI_LNC067248)". Lineage: Eukaryota; Viridiplantae; Streptophyta; Magnoliopsida; Arecales; Arecaceae. The record is from RNAcentral.